CACGCCCCCUUUUCUGUUUAUCAACCAGGUACGCCCCACUUCCGGUUUAAGCUCCGCCUCUUCCGGCUUUCGUGUUACGUCACUUCCGGUUCCGUGGGCGACACAAACAAAGGGCCGCGAAGCCGCUGAGAUGGGUUCCCAUGGCAGCCGGGGGGGGGAGGAGGAAGAGGAAGAUGAGGAGGAAGAUGGAGACGGAGCGUUGGAGAGAGCGCUCAGAGCACUGCUCCAACAGUCUCCUCAAGAGGCGUCGGAUGAGGACAGUGAUGACGGCAGCAGCGUCCAGGCCCCGCCCCCAGGUGGGAAAAAGGGGCGGGGCUUAAUAAAGGGGGCGGGGCCAAAGGGAAAGGGGGC
Coturnix japonica (Japanese quail) is the source of this 351-nucleotide non-coding RNA. The record is from RefSeq and is a predicted model, not a curated record. Lineage: Eukaryota; Metazoa; Chordata; Aves; Galliformes; Phasianidae.